GGUCUCAUGGUGUAACGGUAGGCACUCUGGACUCUGAAUCCAGUGAUCCGAGUUCGAAUCUCGGUGAGACCU
This 72-nucleotide transfer RNA is filed under the name Rhipicephalus microplus (southern cattle tick). RNAcentral's name for it is "tRNA-Gln". It matches the Rfam family "tRNA". Rfam says of the family: Transfer RNA (tRNA) molecules are approximately 80 nucleotides in length. Lineage: Eukaryota; Metazoa; Arthropoda; Arachnida; Ixodida; Ixodidae. The record is from Rfam by way of RNAcentral.